RNAcentral lists this ribosomal RNA (290 nucleotides) under Chironax melanocephalus. Its description in RNAcentral is "partial 12S ribosomal RNA". Lineage: Eukaryota; Metazoa; Chordata; Mammalia; Chiroptera; Pteropodidae. The record is from RNAcentral.
CCAUCUAGAGGAGCCUGUUCUAUAAUCGAUGAACCCCGAUAAACCUCACCAACCCUUGCUAAUUCAGCCUAUAUACCGCCAUCUUCAGCGAACCCUAAAAAGGAGACACAGUAAGCAAAACCAUGGAACAUAAAAACGUUAGGUCAAGGUGUAGCCCAUGGGUUGGAAAGAAAUGGGCUACAUUUUCUAGCAUAGAACACUUACGAAAAUUUUCGUGAAAUCGAAAAUGGAAGGAGGAUUUAGUAGUAAAUUAAGAAUAGAGAGCUUAAUUGAAUAAGGCCAUGAAGCAC